This 200-nucleotide long non-coding RNA is filed under the name Lathyrus oleraceus (garden pea). Its description in RNAcentral is "Pisum sativum (pea) long non-coding RNA (PSAT_LNC032644)". The record is from RNAcentral. Lineage: Eukaryota; Viridiplantae; Streptophyta; Magnoliopsida; Fabales; Fabaceae.
GAAAUGUUGCACGAUAUCAGUAUCUAGACUAGGCAUGUCUUCAUACGAACAGGCAAAGACGUCGACAUAUUCUCAUAGCAACUCAAUCAACCCCUUCUUGACAGACUCUUCCAGGAGUGCCCCAAUCUUCACUUCACAAAUGCAGUCUUCAGACCCCAAGUUGACUAUUUCCAGAUUCUCAAGAUGUGGCUGAAUGAUUU